This 73-nucleotide transfer RNA is filed under the name Saccoglossus kowalevskii. RNAcentral describes it as "tRNA-Asn". It matches the Rfam family "tRNA". From Rfam's summary of the family: Transfer RNA (tRNA) molecules are approximately 80 nucleotides in length. Their secondary structure includes four short double-helical elements and three loops (D, anti-codon, and T loops). Lineage: Eukaryota; Metazoa; Hemichordata; Enteropneusta; Harrimaniidae. The record is from RNAcentral.
GCCCGGCUAGCUCAGUCGGUAGAGCAUGGUACUAUUCAUACCAGGGUCGUGGGUUCGAGCCCCAUAUUGGGCG